CGCACACCAACGGAUGUACAGGAGAACUAUACGCUGCUGGGUUCCUGAAUGCAAUUCAGUCAGGCUUCAUCUCUAAUUAGGGCAAGAUAACUUGUUUGGAAAGUCUUCCUCCUCUGCCUCGUGUUCCCCGAGAAACACUCAUAAAUAAAUUGAGGGGGAACAUCCACUUUUGAACUUGCUGGGCUUUGCAGUACAAGAAGACGAGUGCUGCGCUCACUGGAUCAUGUGGAACACGACAUGACAAUACUGCUGCUCUGCACCAUGAAAACAGUGGAUGAAGUGCUUAUCCUCUUCUCAGCACACAGGUCUGAGCUCACCACCUGAUGAACCAGUGGCAGUGCUGGCCUUAAUGGCGCCCUGUGCGAAGCCCCCGAGGUGGCACCCCCAGGGCCCUAGAUGACCCCCCACCCCCCCAGUCAUUAGUCUACGGGUUGUGUGGGGUGGCGACGGAGGUUUUUCACCCUUCAGUGCCGCUCCAAAUACUACAUGGUCCCCAGAGUGCGACCCUGUGCAGUCAUUUCCUCUUAAAGCAGCUCAAUGGCUCCUCAUACACAGAAUUAACUGUUUGAAAAAAAAAUCACUAUCUAAUGACAAACAUGUAGCUCUGAUUUUUUUAAAUGUGAUUUUUUUGGGAAUCACAAAAUUUCGAGGUACAUAUUUUUCAUCUGACAGAUUUUUUUAUUAUUAUUUUAAACCUAUUGAGACAUUAUUGGAAGACAAAGAAGUCAGGCUAAAGGAACCAUAUGCAAAAAAGUAUUCAACAUCUUCUAACACUAUCCAUCCAUCCAUUUUCUGAGCCGCUUAUCCUCACAAGGGUCGCGGGAGUGCUGGAGCCUAUCCCAGCUAUCUUCGGGCAGGAGGCAGGGUACACCCUGAACUGGUUGCCAGCCAAUUGCAGGGCACACAUAAACAAACAAUCAUUCACACUCACAUUCACACCUAUGGGCAAUUUUAGAGUCUUCAAUUAAGCAACCAUGCAUGUUUUUGGGAUGUGGGAGGAAACCGGAGUGCCUGGAGAAAACCCACGCAGGCACGUGGAGAGCAUGCAAACUCCACACAAUUUGAACCCCAGUCCUCAGAACUGUGAGGCAGACGCUCUAACCAGUUGUCCACCGUGCCGCCCUUCUAACACUAAUCUAAAUAAAAUUAUACAGUUUUUUAAUGUCAUCUUAUUUUUUAUUAAUAUGCAUUUUGUACAUUUUAAUUUUAAUCGUAAUCUUAGCACUGAGGCUAGCAAAAGAUCAGGUGAUCAGUCAUGACUCAACAUGUCAAUGACUUGUCACCAU
This is a long non-coding RNA of Phyllopteryx taeniolatus (common seadragon), 1286 nucleotides long. RefSeq lists it as uncharacterized. The transcript has 3 exons. NCBI's taxonomy places the organism in Eukaryota, Metazoa, Chordata, Actinopteri, Syngnathiformes, Syngnathidae. The record is from RefSeq and is a predicted model, not a curated record.